CUGGCUCAGGACGAACGCUGGCGGCGUGCCUAAUACAUGCAAGUCGAGCGAACCACUUCGGUGGUUAGCGGCGGACGGGUGAGUAACACGUGGGCAACCUGCCUGUAAGACUGGGAUAACUUCGGGAAACCGGAGCUAAUACCGGAUAAUCCUUUUCCUCUCAUGAGGAAAAGCUGAAAGNCGGUUUCGGCUGUCACUUACAGAUGGGCCCGCGGCGCAUUAGCUAGUUGGUGAGGUAACGGCUCACCAAGGCGACGAUGCGUAGCCGACCUGAGAGGGUGAUCGGCCACACUGGGACUGAGACACGGCCCAGACUCCUACGGGAGGCAGCAGUAGGGAAUCUUCCACAAUGGACGAAAGUCUGAUGGAGCAACGCCGCGUGAGCGAUGAAGGCCUUCGGGUCGUAAAGCUCUGUUGUUAGGGAAGAACAAG
RNAcentral lists this ribosomal RNA (432 nucleotides) under Bacillus sp. R-32709. Its description in RNAcentral is "bacterial SSU rRNA". It matches the Rfam family "Bacterial small subunit ribosomal RNA", at positions 19 to 453 of the family's 1533-position model. The record is from RNAcentral. Lineage: Bacteria; Bacillati; Bacillota; Bacilli; Caryophanales; Bacillaceae.